This 903-nucleotide ribosomal RNA is filed under the name uncultured bacterium. RNAcentral describes it as "bacterial SSU rRNA". It matches the Rfam family "Bacterial small subunit ribosomal RNA", at positions 14 to 909 of the family's 1533-position model. The record is from RNAcentral.
UGAUCCUGGCUCAGGAUGAACGCUAGCUACAGGCUUAACACAUGCAAGUCGAGGGGCAGCAUGAACUUAGCUUGCUAAGUUUGAUGGCGACCGGCGCACGGGUGAGUAACACGUAUCCAACCUUCCGUUUACUCAGGGAUAGCCUUUCGAAAGAAAGAUUAAUACCUGAUAGUAUGGUGAGAUUGCAUGAUAGCACCAUUAAAGAUUUAUUGGUAAACGAUGGGGAUGCGUUCCAUUAGGUAGUAGGCGGGGUAACGGCCCACCUAGCCGACGAUGGAUAGGGGUUCUGAGAGGAAGGUCCCCCACAUUGGAACUGAGACACGGUCCAAACUCCUACGGGAGGCAGCAGUGAGGAAUAUUGGUCAAUGGGCGAGAGCCUGAACCAGCCAAGUAGCGUGAAGGAUGAAGGUCCUACGGAUUGUAAACUUCUUUUAUACGGGAAUAAAGUAUCCUACGUGUAGGAUUUUGUAUGUACCGUAUGAAUAAGCAUCGGCUAACUCCGUGCCAGCAGCCGCGGUAAUACGGAGGAUGCGAGCGUUAUCCGGAUUUAUUGGGUUUAAAGGGAGCGCAGACGGGAGAUUAAGUCAGUUGUGAAAGUUUGCGGCUCAACCGUAAAAUUGCAGUUGAUACUGGUUUCCUUGAGUGCAGUUGAGGCAGGCGGAAUUCGUGGUGUAGCGGUGAAAUGCUUAGAUAUCACGAAGAACCCCGAUUGCGAAGGCAGCUUGCUAAACUGUAACUGACGUUCAUGCUCGAAAGUGUGGGUAUCAAACAGGAUUAGAUACCCUGGUAGUCCACACGGUAAACGAUGGAUACUCGCUGUUGGCGAUAUACUGUCAGCGGCCAAGCGAAAGCAUUAAGUAUCCCACCUGGGGAGUACGCCGGCAACGGUGAAACUCAAAGGAA